GCCGGCUACGUAUAUCCAGUGAGCACAGCCACUCGCGCUCCUAGAGGAGUCUUCGCCGCACCCGGCGCUGUUCCCCCGUCCCCGUCCCACUCGCGCCCAGCUUCCCGCGCCGGAAGGACUGCCGCACGGUACUGUGGAGUUCAAAGGGAUCCCAGUGGCUGCAAGUCAACCAGACUUGGGCCAGAGCUUGGAGUGGCCACUCCUGCCCCUGCAGUCGCUGCCUUCACAGUAGGAACAAGCAUCAGCCCGACACCCCUGCGCUUCGUAGGGAACUUCCAUCCAAUGAGAAAUGUUUAUACCUCAUCUGGAAACUCCUAUUCUCCAGUGUUGCAACUACACCUGCAACAAAAUGAACUGCCUGGCUACUCUGUGGACAUAUCUCGCACAGCACAAUCUUACCGUGUUUACUGAUCAUCUGGUUUGCACAAUACUUUGUGCCAAAAUAGACGUCGUAUCUACUGAACUCCUACCAUGUGCCAGGAGCUGAGGAUAAAAUACUGCAUAAAAAAGUCAAAGUUGAUGGUCCCAAAGAGGGGUCAGAUAAAAAAAUGAAAUAAGUGCUUUCACAGAGUCCAGCCUGAUGCUGCUCUGGCAAGAGCCAGGGUACUCUGGGGACAGAAGGGAGUGGUACCCAGGCUGCCAGGCUAUGAUCCAGCAGGAUCAGCAUCCUGAGGCCUUUCGCUUUCCCUCUUCCCUGAGGUGGGAUGUAGACAUGAUGGAUGGACAGACCUAGGCUGCCCCUUUGAACUCAGAAUUGGAACCUGGGUGGUGAAGAUUCCUGAGCUGCCCUUCCAGCCCUGGACUCUUCCUCUGAGCUGUGCUGUGAGUUAGCAACUCAUUUCUACUUUGAUUGUGCUGCUCCAUUUCCUAUCUCUGUGUUAUGGCAACUUAACUUCUUCCUAAUUCUCUCUAUAUGACCUGUUAUUCUCUCCCUCCUCUCUCACCAAAAGUUUUAGGAUCCCCUUUUUAGCUCCUGAAAUUUCAUGAUUGUAGCUCUGCCAUGUUCCUUUCUAAAUUGAGCAGUGCACUUUUAAUCAGCAUUACUGUGUUUUCAAUUCUGUGAAAUCUUGUCUCAUUUCUUCAAGAAAUGGCCCCUUUCCAUUUUAUCUGUAGCUUCUGUCUGAAAACUUUUAUCGUCUAACGUUGGUCUCCUUCCCUUUUUUCAUUCCUCAUUCCAGUGGGCCUGCCCACACCCCCACUUUCUGGAUUUUAUCUGUCCACUCUUUUGGCGCCUUUUUUUUUUUUUUUUUUUUAAAGCUGUGUUGUUUUCAGUUUUCAAGAGUUCUUUUUCAUUGUUCUUUCUGUCUCUUUGAAGAUAUUAAGUAUGGGGUUUUCUUCCUUGGAUUUGUUGUUACUGUUUUUGCUUUUCCUUGCUGGUGUUCCCUCAUGCUGGAGGCCCUUUCAGAUGUGUGGUGAUAUGUGGCCGUGCUUUCCUGUUUAAGAAUGAAGCCACUCUAAGUGAACUGGCAGAGCUGGUCAACGGAGGGUGACUGGGUGGCAAACAGGUCUAUUUUGUGAGGCACUCCCAAGUGUCAGCAUCCUGACGACUUUUCUCCAGGGCAGAUUAAUUUUUCAAAGGGUGAGUUCUAUAGAUUCCUGGUUGGAGGGCAAAUGCCUCACCCUCAGAGUUGUGGGGAGGAGGGAUAGCUCCUCUACACUCCCAACUAGCUUUCAUCUCAAAAGGUAUUAUUGAUUCACUGUAGUGAGUCAAGGACUAUAAUGUGCAAGUUAUAAUAUAUGUGUAUUUGUUUAUUCAUUGAACAAAUGUUUACAAUAAGUCAGUGUGUGUGUGUGUGCACAUGUGUGUGUGUGUAUGGGUGACACUGGGGAGACAAAAUAGAGAAAAAUCACAUCUGUGCUUUGGCUUAUAGCAGGUGUGAUUACGAUGUGAGUCCAGGUAAUGACUGUCGCUGUGGGUGGAGGGCACCUCGGCAGCACCAGCCAGCGCCAGGCAGGGCUUUCAACUGUAUUUUUUCAGAAAGUAGGGGAAGCGACUCUAUUCCUUUCUGCCCAUUUCACCCAUACAGAGGUUCCCUUCCUGCUUGCACCCCCAUUCCCAAACAGAUUUACCAAUUAUAUAUUUAUAGACUAAUAUGCUUUGAAAAGACUUCUGACAUGACAAUACUGCUGAGAAAAUGAAAGUCUACCACUGUAGGGAAGGCCUCCCCGACCCUUCCCCUACUGUUCUAUGAGGACAGCUAUCCGCUGCUUCACCCCAAAUAUGUCUGGCCUUGAGAAACCUGAAAACAGUGUGUUGUACCCAUGGGAAAAGAGCUAGAUAAGGACCUUGAAGGCCAGACACCUGGCCAUGAAGGCUGCACGCAUGUGCAUCUUCAAUAUUUAUGCAACCAUGAAUUAGCACUGUAGCAGUAAAAGAAGUACAGCUUUAUGAAGAAUAAAGGGGCCUCUUUGAGUACUCUCCAUGACGACUCCAGCUGCCUUCUUUGCUCUUCGUGUUGCCCCAAAAUCUCAAAGGCAACCCCCAGACCCCAACAACCAGUCAUUUAUAUCUUGGUAUUGUAGGACCCCUUCCUCCAUUUUGUGCCCUCCGUCUUGAAUAACUAUGUCCCCUACAUGACCCCUGACUCCAUUUUGUGUCCCCCAUCUUGAAUAACUAAUGACC
This is a long non-coding RNA of Manis javanica (Malayan pangolin), 2623 nucleotides long. RefSeq lists it as uncharacterized. Lineage: Eukaryota; Metazoa; Chordata; Mammalia; Pholidota; Manidae. The record is from RefSeq and is a predicted model, not a curated record.